UACGAAGGGGGCUAGCGUUGUUCGGAAUUACUGGGCGUAAAGCGCGCGUAGGCGGCUUUGCAAGCCAGAGGUGAAAUGCCUGAGCUCAACUUGGGAAUUGCCUUUGGGACUGCGAGGCUUUGAGGACGGGAGAGGUGAGUGGAAUUCCCAGUGUAGAGGUGAAAUUCGUAGAUAUUGGGAAGAACACCGGUGGCGAGGGCGGCUCACUGGCCCGUUUCUGACGCUGCAGCGCGAAAGCGUGGGGAUCAAACAGG
This 254-nucleotide ribosomal RNA is filed under the name uncultured bacterium. RNAcentral describes it as "partial 16S ribosomal RNA". It matches the Rfam family "Bacterial small subunit ribosomal RNA", at positions 524 to 776 of the family's 1533-position model. The record is from RNAcentral.